UCAGAACGAACGCUGGCGGCAGGCCUAACACAUGCAAGUCGAACGAGAAAGCACCUUCGGGUGUGAGUACAGUGGCGGACGGGUGAGUAACGCGUAGGAAUCUACCUAGUAGUGGGGGACAACUCGGGGAAACUCGAGCUAAUACCGCAUACGCUCUUUGAAUCUUCGGAGGAUUAGAGGAAAGUGGGGGAGCUUCGGCCCUCACGCUAUUAGAGGAGCCUGCGUUGGAUUAGCUUGUUGGUGAGGUAAAGGCUCACCAAGGCUACGAUCUAUAGCUGGUCUGAGAGGAUGAUCA
This 295-nucleotide ribosomal RNA is filed under the name Prasinoderma singulare. Its description in RNAcentral is "partial Bacterial small subunit ribosomal RNA". It matches the Rfam family "Bacterial small subunit ribosomal RNA", at positions 24 to 306 of the family's 1533-position model. Lineage: Eukaryota; Viridiplantae; Prasinodermophyta; Prasinodermophyceae; Prasinodermales; Prasinodermaceae. The record is from RNAcentral.